Molecule: microRNA precursor, 92 nt
Organism: Myotis lucifugus (little brown bat)
Lineage: Eukaryota; Metazoa; Chordata; Mammalia; Chiroptera; Vespertilionidae
Source: Ensembl
CGGGUGGAGCAGUUGCAGGUGCAGAGCUUGGUGGUAGUAGCAAAAACUCAAAGGAGAACUUGGAAGGCCGAAGUGGAGAAGGGUUCCAUGUG